RNAcentral lists this small RNA (28 nucleotides) under Bombyx mori (domestic silkworm). RNAcentral describes it as "ovarian small RNA-15170". The record is from RNAcentral. Lineage: Eukaryota; Metazoa; Arthropoda; Insecta; Lepidoptera; Bombycidae.
GAACGCACGGAUGAUGGGACGGCAGCAA